UUAAGUGAAUAAGGGCGCACGGUGGAUGCCUUGGCACUAGGAGCCGAUGAAGGACGGGACUAACACCGAUAUGCUUUGGGGAGCUGUACGUAAGCUAUGAUCCAGAGAUUUCCGAAUGGGGGAACCCAACAUCUUUAAUAGGAUGUUACGAUUGUGUGAAUACAUAGCACAUUCGAGGUAGACGCAGAGAACUGAAACAUCUAAGUACCUGCAGGAAGAGAAAGAAAAUUCGAUUCCCUGAGUAGCGGCGAGCGAAACGGGAAAAGCCCAAACCAGCAAGCUUGCUUGUUGGGGUUGUAGGACUCCAAUAUGGUAGUUCUUUCAGAUAGUCGAAUGACUUGGAAAAGUCAGUCAAAGAGGGUAAAAACCCCGUAGACGAAAUGUGGAAAACACCUAGGAGGAUCCUGAGUACGGCGGAACACGAGAAAUUCCGUCGGAAUCCGGGAGGACCAUCUCCCAAGGCUAAAUACUCCCUAGUGACCGAUAGUGAACCAGUACCGUGAGGGAAAGGUGAAAAGCACCCCGGAAGGGGAGUGAAAUAGAACCUGAAACCGUGUGCCUACAACAAGUCAAAGCCCGUUAAUGGGUGAUGGCGUGCCUUUUGUAGAAUGAACCGGCGAGUUACGAUUGCAUGCGAGGUUAAGUUGAAGAGACGGAGCCGCAGCGAAAGCGAGUCUGAAUAGGGCGUUUGAGUAUGUAGUCGUAGACCCGAAACCAUGUGAUCUACCCAUGUCCAGGUUGAAGGUGCGGUAAAACGCACUGGAGGACCGAACCCACGUACGUUGAAAAGUGCGGGGAUGAGGUGUGGGUAGCGGAGAAAUUCCAAACGAACUUGGAGAUAGCUGGUUCUCUCCGAAAUAGCUUUAGGGCUAGCCUCGGAAUUGAGAAUGAUGGAGGUAGAGCACUGUUUGGACUAGGGGCCCAUCUCGGGUUACCGAAUUCAGAUAAACUCCGAAUGCCAUUCAUUCAUAUCCGGGAGUCAGACUGUGAGUGAUAAGAUCCAUAGUCGAAAGGGAAACAGCCCAGACCACCAGCUAAGGUCCCAAAAUAUAUGUUAAGUGGAAAAGGAUGUGGGGUUGCACAGACAACUAGGAUGUUGGCUUAGAAGCAGCCACCAUUUAAAGAGUGCGUAAUAGCUCACUAGUCGAGUGACCCUGCGCCGAAAAUGUACCGGGGCUAAACAUAUUACCGAAGCUGUGGAGUACACCUUUAGGUGUAUUGGUAGGAGAGCGUUCUAAGGGCGUUGAAGGCAGAUCGUGAGGACUGCUGGAGCGCUUAGAAGUGAGAAUGCCGGUAUGAGUAGCGAAAGACAGGUGAGAAUCCUGUCCACCGAAUGACUAAGGUUUCCUGGGGAAGGCUCGUCCGCCCAGGGUUAGUCGGGACCUAAGCCGAGGCCGACAGGCGUAGGCGAUGGAUAACAGGUUGAUAUUCCUGUACCCGUUGUUUUUGUUUGAGCAAUGGAGGGACGCAGGAGGCUAAGGAAUGCAGACGAUCGGAAAUGUCUGUCCAAGCAGUAAGUCUGAAGAGGAGUCAAAUGCUUCUUUUCUUAAGGACAAGCUGUGAUGGGGAGGGAAAUAAUAGUACCGAAGUUCCUGAUGUCACACUGCCGAGAAAAGCUUCUAGUGAGAAAACAGCGGCCCGUACCGCAAACCGACACAGGUAGUCGAGGAGAGAAUCCUAAGGUGAGCGAGAGAACUCUCGUUAAGGAACUCGGCAAAAUGACCCCGUAACUUCGGGAGAAGGGGUGCUGAUCAUACGAUCAGCCGCAGUGAAUAGGCCCAAGCGACUGUUUAUCAAAAACACAGGUCUCUGCAAAAUCAUAAGAUGAAGUAUAGGGGCUGACGCCUGCCCGGUGCUGGAAGGUUAAGAGGAGUGCUUAGCGCAAGCGAAGGUACGAAUUGAAGCCCCAGUAAACGGCGGCCGUAACUAUAACGGUCCUAAGGUAGCGAAAUUCCUUGUCGGGUAAGUUCCGACCCGCACGAAAGGCGUAACGAUUUGGGCACUGUCUCAACGAGAGACUCGGUGAAAUUUUAGUACCUGUGAAGAUGCAGGUUACCCGCGACAGGACGGAAAGACCCCAUGGAGCUUUACUGUAGUUUGAUAUUGAGUGUCUGUACCGCAUGUACAGGAUAGGUAGGAGCCGUAGAAAUCGGAACGCUAGUUUCGAUGGAGGCGCUGGUGGGAUACUACCCCUGCGUUAUGGCCACUCUAACCCGCACCACUAAUCGUGGUGGGAGACAGUGUCAGAUGGGCAGUUUGACUGGGGCGGUCGCCUCCUAAAAGGUAACGGAGGCGCCCAAAGGUUCCCUCAGAAUGGUUGGAAAUCAUUCGAAGAGUGUAAAGGCAGAAGGGAGCUUGACUGCGAGACCAACAAGUCGAGCAGGGACGAAAGUCGGGCUUAGUGAUCCGGUGGUUCCGCAUGG
Molecule: ribosomal RNA, 2423 nt
Filed under: Enterococcus faecium
Lineage: Bacteria; Bacillati; Bacillota; Bacilli; Lactobacillales; Enterococcaceae
Description: bacterial LSU rRNA
Rfam family: Bacterial large subunit ribosomal RNA
Source: RNAcentral